Molecule: ribosomal RNA, 229 nt
Filed under: uncultured bacterium
Lineage: Bacteria
Description: partial 16S ribosomal RNA
Rfam family: Bacterial small subunit ribosomal RNA
Source: RNAcentral
CGUCUAGGCGGUUUGGCAAGUCAGAUGUGAAAGCCCUCGGCUUAACCGGGGACGUGCAUCUGAAACUGCUAAGCUUGAGUGUCGGAGGGGGUAGCGGAAUUCCCGGUGUAGAGGUGAAAUUCGUAGAUAUCGGGAGGAACACCAGUGGCGAAGGCGGCUACCUGGCCGAACACUGACGCUGAAGCGCGAAAGCGUGGGGAGCAAACAGGAUUAGAUACCCUGGUAGUCC